UACGGAGGGUGCAAGCGUUAUCCGGAAUCACUGGGUUUAAAGGGUGCGUAGGCGGCUCGGUAAGUCAGUGGUGAAAGCCCCUUGCUUAACGAGGGAGGUGCGAUUGAUACUGUCGUGCUUGAAUCGGGAUGAGGCAGGCGGAAUGUGGCAUGUAGCGGUGAAAUGCAUAGAGAUGCCAUAGAACACCGAUUGCGAAGGCAGCCUGCUGGGCCUGUAUUGACGAUGAGGCACGAAAGCGUGGGGAUCAAACAGG
RNAcentral lists this ribosomal RNA (253 nucleotides) under uncultured bacterium. Its description in RNAcentral is "partial 16S ribosomal RNA". It matches the Rfam family "Bacterial small subunit ribosomal RNA", at positions 524 to 776 of the family's 1533-position model. The record is from RNAcentral.